Molecule: ribosomal RNA, 274 nt
Filed under: uncultured bacterium
Lineage: Bacteria
Description: partial 16S ribosomal RNA
Rfam family: Bacterial small subunit ribosomal RNA
Source: RNAcentral
AUACGGAGGGUGCAAGCGUUACUCGGAAUCACUGGGCGUAAAGCGCGCGCAGGCGGCUAUUUAAGUUGGAUGUGAAAGCCUACGGCUCAACCGUAGAACUGCAUCCAAAGCUAUUUAGCUAGAGUGUGGGAGAGGAAGAUGGAAUUAGUUGUGUAGGGGUAAAAUCCGUAGAGAUAACUAGGAAUACCAAAAGCGAAGGCAAUCUUCUGGAACACUACUGACGCUGAGGCGCGAAAGCGUGCGGAGCAAACAGGAUUAGAAACCCUAGUAGUCC